Molecule: ribosomal RNA, 442 nt
Filed under: uncultured bacterium
Lineage: Bacteria
Description: partial 16S ribosomal RNA
Rfam family: Bacterial small subunit ribosomal RNA
Source: RNAcentral
CCUACGGGAGGCAGCAGUGGGGAAUUUUGGACAAUGGGCGAAAGCCUGAUCCAGCGACGCCGCGUGGAGGACGAAGGUCUUCGGAUUGUAAACUCCUUUUGCAGGGGACGAAAAAAAUGACGGUACUCUGCGAAUAAGCCACGGCUAACUACGUGCCAGCAGCCGCGGUAAUACGUAGGUGGCAAGCGUUAUCCGGAAUCACUGGGCGUAAAGGGCGUCUAGGCGGACGGGUAAGUCGUGCGUGAAAGCUUCCGGCUCAACCGGGAGAGGUCGUACGAUACUGCCUGUCUUGAGGGUCGGAGAGGGACGUGGAAUUCCCGGUGUAGCGGUGAAAUGCGUAGAGAUCGGGAGGAACACCAGUGGCGAAGGCGGCGUCCUGGCCGACACCUGACGCUGAAGCGCGAAAGCGUGGGGAGCGAACGGGAUUAGAUACCCGAGUAGU